RNAcentral lists this ribosomal RNA (253 nucleotides) under uncultured bacterium. RNAcentral's name for it is "partial 16S ribosomal RNA". It matches the Rfam family "Bacterial small subunit ribosomal RNA", at positions 524 to 776 of the family's 1533-position model. The record is from RNAcentral.
UACGUAGGGGGCAAGCGUUGUCCGGAAUCAUUGGGCGUAAAGAGCGUGUAGGCGGCCCGGUAAGUCCGCUGUGAAAGUCCAGGGCUCAACCCUGGAAUGCCGGUGGAAACUGUCGGGCUAGAGUCCGGAAGAGGCGAGUGGAAUUCCUGGUGUAGCGGUGAAAUGCGCAGAUAUCAGGAGGAACACCAAUGGCGAAGGCAGCACUCUGGGACGUGACUGACGCUGAGACGCGAAAGCGUGGGGAGCAAACAGG